RNAcentral lists this ribosomal RNA (446 nucleotides) under uncultured bacterium. RNAcentral's name for it is "partial 16S ribosomal RNA". It matches the Rfam family "Bacterial small subunit ribosomal RNA", at positions 338 to 795 of the family's 1533-position model. The record is from RNAcentral.
CCUACGGGAGGCAGCAGUCGAGAAUCUUUCACAAUGGGGGAAACCCUGAUGGUGCGACGCCGCGUGGGGGAAUGAAGGCCUUCGGAUUGUAAACCCUUGUCAGGUGGAAGCAAAUCAAAAAGAUAGUACCACAAGAGGAAGAGACGGCUACCCCUGGGCCAGCCGCCGCGGUAAGACGGAGGUCUCAAGCUUUGUUCGGAAUCACUGGGCGUAAAGGGUGCGUAGGCGGUUUUGUAAGUCGUGUGUGAAAGGCGCGGGCUCAACCCACGGACGGCACAUGAUACUGCGAGACUAGAGUAAUGGAGGGGGAACCGGAAUUCUCGGUGUAGCAGUAAAAUGCGUAGAUAUCGAGAGGAACACUCGUGGCGAAGGCGGGUGCCUGGACAGUAACUGACGCUGAGGCACGAAGGCGAGGGGAGCGAAAGGGAUUAGAUACCCUUGUAGUC